CCAGAUUCAGAUUUAUCCCAUGUUACCUGAUGAUGAACUGGCAGCAGCACCACCAGUACUGAAGGCGUCUCUUCCCAGUAUGAUGUUUCCACUGGUGCUCUUCCCUGAUCCAGUCCUCCCAACAAGAACCAGUCUGAGGUCUGGCACAGAGAGACAAAACAUCAACUCUGGUGGAAAAGGGAAGCGGAGUGCUGCUGUGGAUCUGCUGCAGUGUCUGGAGAGGUCAGAGGAACGGUUCUUGGAAUAGAUCAGAAGACACCAAGACCUGACCACUGCCAUGCUCCAGAACAUCCAGAGGACGGAUGAAAACCUUGGUUGAUCUGAUGAGACGAUCGUGUCUGGUCCCAGAAAUAAACUGCAUUGUCCACUACUUUUACCUUUUUCUAGAAAAAAAAAAUCAUAUUUUUUGUAAAUUCUUUUACUUUUGAGUUAUUUAAGUUCACUUGUUUUGUAUUUUACUUUUGCCAUUCGGGUCAAUAAAAAUAAAUUUGUGUUGA
Acanthochromis polyacanthus (spiny chromis) is the source of this 497-nucleotide long non-coding RNA. RefSeq lists it as uncharacterized. NCBI's taxonomy places the organism in Eukaryota, Metazoa, Chordata, Actinopteri, Pomacentridae. The record is from RefSeq and is a predicted model, not a curated record. The transcript is spliced from 3 exons.